GAGUGAAGAGGGAAGAGCUCAUCAUUGGAAUCUGACAGCGUUACGCUGUCCGAGUUGUAGAUGAGGAGUAGUCCAUCUGGACUGCAUGGCGUCCAAGUACAAUAGGCCGUCAGUGGGACAUCAUAGAGGGUGACAAUCCCGUCCUUGAUGCCAAUGUGCAAGUCCGUUACGAUGGCUAUCUCAGAGAGUCGAGCAGUUUGGGAUUUGCUGCUUAAACAUGGGAGGUAGAUUCCUUCUAAAGCUAAAUACAGGCGAGAGACCGAUAGAGAACAAGUACCGCAAGGGAAAGAUGAAAUAGAACUCUGUGAAGGGAGUCAAAAGGCGUGAAAUUGUUGCGAGAGAAGCGAUUCAAGUCAGCGUAGCUAGGCCCAUCAAGCCUCUUUGUGCUUUGGACUAGCUUUGCCAGCGGUCUUGUCCCUUAGAGACUUGACUUUUUUAUGAUGUCCAGCCUGGUAUGCACAGGUAGCCCUUCUUCUGGGGGGGGCCAGUGACAUGGCUGGUGGAAUGGCUUGCAAUCGACCCGUCUUGAAACACGGACCAAGGAGUCUAACAUGUAUGCGAGUAUAAGGGUGGCAAACCCGUAUGCGCAAUGAAAGUAACUUUCGAUGAUUGAGAAUGGCCUGAUGACCAAGACAAGCAAUAUAUUCAUGUCCCUCGUACGGCCAUUGCCCAAGUUCCGUGGUAGAUCCCAUGAACAUGGAGUUGGAGCAUACAUGCUAGGACCCGAAAGAUGGUGAACUAUGCCUGGACAAAGCGAAGCCAAAGGAAACUCUGGUGGAGGCUUGUAGCGAUUCUGACGUGCAAAUCGAUCGUCUGAUCUG
Molecule: ribosomal RNA, 821 nt
Filed under: Cantharellus flavolateritius
Lineage: Eukaryota; Fungi; Basidiomycota; Agaricomycetes; Cantharellales; Hydnaceae
Description: eukaryotic LSU rRNA
Rfam family: Eukaryotic large subunit ribosomal RNA
Source: RNAcentral